Molecule: long non-coding RNA, 679 nt
Organism: Stegostoma tigrinum
Lineage: Eukaryota; Metazoa; Chordata; Chondrichthyes; Orectolobiformes; Stegostomatidae
Exons: 3
Source: RefSeq, a predicted model, not a curated record
UUUAGCAAAACCUGCGUAGCUUUACAAUCCUUUCCCUCUGAUAGAAUUCAAAUUCAAUUCAAACACUGAAAUUCAAAUUUAAGAUAAUCAAGCUUUGUGGACUGUCAAAAGCAAUGUGAGCAGUAUUAUACAAAAGUUUUCUUUUAAGCUUCUAGUAUAAAUGGAUAACAAGGAUGAGGGUGUUGCUGGCCAGGCAGCAUUUAUUGCCCAUCUUUUAUUGCCCGGAGGACAGCUCAGAGUCAACCACAUUGCUGAGUCUGAAGUCACAUGUAGGCCAGACCAGCAAUGAAAGAGACAGGAAGCUGCCCAAAAGGUACAUUAAACAGACCAAGCUGGAAGGUUCAACAGUAGGAAAAACAUGACAAAUACAAGAGUGACCAUAACGAUAUGGGUGGUCCCUGGAUAUGUUGACAAAAACGGCCUCACAAGCUUCAAGUAUUUCCAUUGGUUUAAUGAUGGUGGAUAAGUUUGUUAUCUAUUAUACUGGUAUAUUAAAAGUUGAUUUCAGAAGAAUUUGAAUGGUUGGUAACACAAAUUAUUGCAAAAUGUAAACUUCACAUUUAUGAUGAAUAUUUUUCCAAUCCUACCGACAUUUAAUAUGCUCACUGACAUUCUAACUGGUGUUAGUGUGACACUUAAAUUUGACAAGCAUUCAAUAAAGGAAUCCAAACUUGAAACU